AUGGACUUUCCAGAGACAAGGCUGGUCACCAUUGACCUUUCAGAGUCAAGUCAAGUCACUGGUGAUCUUCAAGGACUGUGUCAAGUCACUGGUGAUCUUCAAGGACUGUGUCAAGUCACUGGUGAUCUUCAAGGACUGUGUCAAGUCACCGGUGAUCUUCAUGAACAAGUGCCAGUCACCAAUGAUCUUCGCGAGCAGAGUCAGGCCAGCGCCGAUCUUCUGAAGUCCAGUAAGAACACCAGGGGAUUACCAGAGCUUCGUUGUUCUUCUGGUCCGGCCGCACUGAGGUCUGAUCCGCCCUGGAGGGCUUCCGCCUUGACCACAUGGCUGUGGUGGUCUUCUGCUCCGCCCUGGGGGACUCCGGCCUCAACCACAGGGGUGUGGUGGUCUUCUGCUCCGCCCUGGGGGAAUCCGGCAUCGACCACAAGGACGUGGUGGUCUUCUGCUCCGCCCUGGGAGGCUUCCGCCCGGACCACACGGUUGUGGUGGUCUUCUGCUCCGCCCUGGGGGACUCCGGCCUCAACCACAGGGAUGUGGUGGUCUUCUGCUCCGCCCUGGGGGAAUCCGGUAUCGACCACAAGGACGUGGUGGUCUUCUGCUCCGCCCUGGGAGGCUUCCGCCCGGACCACACGGUUGUGGUGGUCUUCUGCUCCGCCCUGGGGGACUCCGGCAUCGACCACAGGGACGUGGUGGUCAUCUGCUCUGCCCUGGGGGACUCCGACGUCGACCACAAGGAUGUGGUGGUCUUCCGCUCCACCCUGGGGGACUCUGGCAUCGACCACGAGGACGUGGUGGUCUUCUGCUCCGCCCUGGGGGGCUUCCGCUCUGACCACACGGUUGUGGUGGACUUCUGCUCUGCCCUGGGGGACUCCAGUCUACACCACACAGACGUGGUGGUCUUCUGCUCCGCCCUGGGGGGGCUUCAUGUUGUUGUUUGUUUUUUGUUUUGUGUGUUCACUCCCGUCCCUGUUCCCCUCUGUUAGUCUGGCCCUCCGUCCCUCCCCCUGA
This 1008-nucleotide long non-coding RNA is filed under the name Carassius auratus (goldfish). RNAcentral's name for it is "lncRNA (ENSCARG00000004234.1)". The record is from RNAcentral. Lineage: Eukaryota; Metazoa; Chordata; Actinopteri; Cypriniformes; Cyprinidae.